Long non-coding RNA from Sebastes umbrosus (honeycomb rockfish), 2169 nucleotides. RefSeq lists it as uncharacterized. The record is from RefSeq and is a predicted model, not a curated record. NCBI's taxonomy places the organism in Eukaryota, Metazoa, Chordata, Actinopteri, Perciformes, Sebastidae. The transcript is spliced from 2 exons.
CUAGAGAGAACGCAGGUUUAAAGACUCUUCAUCAUUGACUUCUAUAGGAGCAGAGGAGUCGCCCCCUGCUGGCUGCUAGACAGGAUACAGGUUUAAAGCUUCACUUCUCAGACCCGGAGAACGCCCACAAAUCACGUGACAGUUAUGUGCCUACUUAGAAACAACAUAGUGCGAACACUGCUGUCAAGUAGAGGUUACAGAUUACCAACUCUCCUCAAUGACACGCAGUCGAUCCUUUGAUUAGGAUCACAUCAGUUAAAGGGCUAUCCAACAUGUCAUUCAUAAGAAAGGUUCCUAUAAUGAAAUGGAUUUUCUAGACUUUCUUUGGGCUCCUACUCAGUGAACUAACCUGUUACAUGAGAGUCCUGACCUCCACUCUUCUACUGUACAUGUGAGAGAAGUCAUCCUGCAGUAAUCCCAGCCUAAUCUUCACAGUGUAUAUAUGUAUAUACAUAUAUAUAUAUAUAUAUGCUAGCUAACGCAGGUAUAUAUUGAUUGUGUUGUGCUUGUUGUUCAGGAGUGUGCAUUCCUGAAUCUUUGCAGUCAGAAGGGUUGUAGCAAGCAGAGCUCAGAGUUUGAUGGAGGAAGGUUAUACAUUCAUUCAACGGCACUGUGUGUGGAAUGCCAAAUGACAGAGGGAUGCUGGGAGAUCAGGCGUGCGUGUGUGUGCGUGUGUGUGUGUCUAUAUACACGAGUAGCACACCAGCCAAAGUUUCCAUGAAAAAUUAAGAUUCUGCUGACACGGCAGUUUGGGAAAACAAAGAGGGAGAAUUGAUUCUUCCAACUGCACAGUACAGUCUCAUUAUGAGAGGCCCAAUCUGUACAUCUCACUCUUCAUACUCUGCUGCCAUAAUAAAGCUUCCUAAUUACCUCGUCUAGUGACAGGACAGCCAUAAUGCUGCUGGUAAAUACACACUGCUUAAUUGCAUUCCUUCUAAUAUGAAACAGACUUUUAUCACGUCUUAAGCACAAUCUAAAGGCCUACUUGUUUCUAAAGACUCAACAUGUAUCUGCUGCAUCUGCAUUUCUUUGUAAAAAGGACCUUCUUCUAAGGAGGGGCACUAUGUUCCAUCACUAUGUUGCAUCACUAUGUUCCAUCACUAUGUUCCAUCAUGUCCAACGCUUGAAAAAUACCAGACGAAAAAAAAAACUGACAGCUCGAGCAAAAUAUCAUGUUUUCAUUCUUAAAGCCCCCCCCCCCCGGUCAUCACAGCAGUGUUCAGAUGGAGCAGGAAAGACCCCGCUAUGACUCAGGGACAAGGUCUUCUCAUCGCUGACCACCAGAUGUAGAACAAACACUGAGCCAGAAAAAGAUCCAGCUGGGAAAACACAAGAGGUCAUGAUGACGAUCAUCCUAUUUUACAGAAGCUGCUCUGGUCGCUUUUCAAAGAAAACACAGGCCAGGAUAUCACACACACACGCGCACGCGCGCACACCAGAUUUACAGUGGUAAAUGGACUAUUACAUCCAAUUGCCACACACAGCAUGAGGGAAUUUGUCUCUUUGCAAAUCCCCUGAGACACAAACACAGAGACGGCAGAGAAUGUAGAAUAAACCGUUUUUAGGUUUCUUUGAUGCAGGAAAUGGAAUCAGAAGAAUUCAGGUUGAAACCCAUUCUCACAGACUGUCAAAUGUCAAAGGAGAAGGAAAUAAAAGACAGACGACAGCGGACUAAUGUCACACACAAAGGACUCUCUGAGGACCGAGACAAGGCGAGGGUCACGUCACCCACAGAGACGGUCAAAGUCUUUCAGUAGGGAGCAUCUCCAGCUCAUCUGCUUGUACUGUAAAAAGGUAACAACUGUCGUAUACACUCAGUAAAACAGUAAAACUAGUUUACAGUGAGGUGUAGAAUGUGGUAAAGCUCCUUAAUCAACCUGCUGCCUUUCUUUAUUCUUUCACCUCCAUUUAGUUUGGACAAAGCAGGACCUUAAGAUAUUACCUCCUCGCUGUGAUUCAGACGGGAUCAGUUCAAACACAACUUCUAGUUAAUGUCAAGGUCCCUUUGAUAUAAUUCAAUGUUUGUAUUGCAGUUCUAUAAUCAGUGAGUUUCCCCUGAUGAAAGACGAAUAUCAGAUAAUGACGAGGACACGGCUCCUUGCACCUGGAGGAAAACCCAAUAAUGUCAUUUUCAAUAAUCAAUUCCAAAUUAAAUGUAUCCGUCCAUCC